This 77-nucleotide ribosomal RNA is filed under the name Tolypothrix sp. T3-bin4. Its description in RNAcentral is "partial 16S ribosomal RNA". It matches the Rfam family "Bacterial small subunit ribosomal RNA", at positions 1 to 75 of the family's 1533-position model. The record is from RNAcentral. Lineage: Bacteria; Bacillati; Cyanobacteriota; Cyanophyceae; Nostocales; Tolypothrichaceae.
UCAAAACGGAGAGUUUGAUCCUGGCUCAGGAUGAACGCUGGCGGUAUGCUUAACACAUGCAAGUCGAACGGUGCUUU